Molecule: ribosomal RNA, 301 nt
Filed under: uncultured bacterium
Lineage: Bacteria
Description: partial 16S ribosomal RNA
Rfam family: Bacterial small subunit ribosomal RNA
Source: RNAcentral
CAGUAGCCGCGGGAAUACGUAGGUGGCAGGCGUUGUCCGGAAUUAUUGGGCGUAAAGGGCUCGCAGGCGGUUUCUUAAGUCUGAUGUGAAAGCCCCCGGCUCAACCGGGGAGGGUCAUUGGAAACUGGGAAACUUGAGUGCAGAAGAGGAGAGUGGAAUUCCACGUGUAGCGGUGAAAUGCGUAGAGAUGUGGAGGAACACCAGUGGCGAAGGCGACUCUCUGGUCUGUAACUGACGCUGAGGAGCGAAAGCGUGGGGAGCGAACAGGAUUAGAUACCCGAGUAGUCCCUGUCUCUUAUAC